UACGGGAGGCAGCAGUGGGGAAUAUUGCACAAUGGGCGCAAGCCUGAUGCAGCCAUGCCGCGUGUAUGAAGAAGGCCUUCGGGUUGUAAAGUACUUUCAGUCGUGAGGAAGGUGUUAAGGUUAAUAACCUUAGCAAUUGACGUUAGCGACAGAAGAAGCACCGGCUAACUCCGUGCCAGCAGCCGCGGUAAUACGGAGGGUGCGAGCGUUAAUCGGAAUUACUGGGCGUAAAGGGCACGCAGGCGGUUAAUUAAGUUGGAUGUGAAAUCCCCGGGCUUAACCUGGGAAUGGCAUUCAAGACUGGUUAGCUAGAGUCUUGUAGAGGGGGUAGAAUUCCAUGUGUAGCGGUGAAAUGCGUAGAGAUGUGGAGGAAAUACCGGUGGCGAAGGCGGCCCCUGGACAAAGACUGACGCUCAUGUGCGAAAGCGUGGGGAGCAAACAGGGAUUAGAUACC
Molecule: ribosomal RNA, 454 nt
Filed under: uncultured bacterium
Lineage: Bacteria
Description: bacterial SSU rRNA
Rfam family: Bacterial small subunit ribosomal RNA
Source: RNAcentral